GUCCACGCCGUAAACGAUGAGAACUAGUUAUUGGGGGUAUUGACUCCCUCGGUAACGCAGCUAACGCAUUAAGUUCUCCGCCUGGGGAGUACGGUCGCAAGACUAAAACUCAAACAAAUUGACGGGGGCCCGCACAAGCGGUGGAUUAUGUGGUUUAAUUCGAAGCAACGCGCAGAACCUUACCUGGGCUUGAACUCCUACGAACGUGUCAGAAACGACAUGGUGUCCGCAAGGAAAUGUAGUGAGAGGUGCUGCAUGGCUGUCGU
RNAcentral lists this ribosomal RNA (266 nucleotides) under uncultured bacterium. RNAcentral's name for it is "partial 16S ribosomal RNA". It matches the Rfam family "Bacterial small subunit ribosomal RNA", at positions 793 to 1055 of the family's 1533-position model. The record is from RNAcentral.